This is a long non-coding RNA of Sinocyclocheilus rhinocerous, 348 nucleotides long. RefSeq lists it as uncharacterized. The record is from RefSeq and is a predicted model, not a curated record. The transcript is spliced from 2 exons. NCBI's taxonomy places the organism in Eukaryota, Metazoa, Chordata, Actinopteri, Cypriniformes, Cyprinidae.
AGGUUUGUGUAUAUUUGGGACACAACAUCCCGUAGGAUCCUUUAUAAGCUCCCGGGUCAUGCUGGGUCUGUAAAUGAGGUCGCUUUCCAUCCAGAAGAACCAAUUGUUCUCUCUGGAUCCAGUGAUAAACGCCUCUACAUCGGAGAGAUUCAAUAACUGUGUGUUUGUGUGUGCGAAUGCUGUUUAUGUGACUGUGUCUGAAUGUGUGAGUGAGAAGAGGAUGGGUAGAGGGGGAUAUGAUUUGGACUUUUGCCAAUAGUGUUUGAUUUGAAAACAGUGAUGAACAGUUGGGGGAAAAUGUUGAACGUUGGCUUUUUUAUGCUUUUAAUAAACCUGUUUCUAGAAUUA